GGAAGCAUGGCUCACAAGGUAGAGUAAUUGCCUCCAAAACAUGAAGCACUGAGUUCAAAUCCCAGUACUGCCA
This 73-nucleotide transfer RNA is filed under the name Dipodomys ordii (Ord's kangaroo rat). It matches the Rfam family "tRNA". Rfam says of the family: Transfer RNA (tRNA) molecules are approximately 80 nucleotides in length. The record is from Rfam by way of RNAcentral. Lineage: Eukaryota; Metazoa; Chordata; Mammalia; Rodentia; Heteromyidae.